Molecule: unclassified non-coding RNA, 352 nt
Filed under: uncultured Glomeromycotina
Lineage: Eukaryota; Fungi; Glomeromycota
Description: sequence contains 28S rRNA gene
Source: RNAcentral
AGAGUUAAAUAGUACGUGAAAUUGUUGAAAGGGAAACGAUUGAAGUCAGUCAUGCUUGCAGGGAAUCAACAAAGUGGUUUUCUUCCUUGUGCACUUCCUUGCUUGGCAGGUUAGCAUCAAUUUUGAUUGUCAUUAAAGAACUCGGGGAAUGUGGCUUCUUCGGGAGUGUUAUAGACCCUAGUAGAUGUGGCGAUUGGGAUUGAGGAUUGCAGCGAAUGCUUCUUGGCUAGUCACCUAACUUCUAAUGAUCACCUUGCUUUCGAUAGCUUGCUAACGUUGGUGAGAUUUGAUUGUCUAGAUGUUGGAGUGAUCAUAAAUUCGCUAAGGAUGCUGACGUAAUGGCUUUAAACGA